This 1304-nucleotide long non-coding RNA is filed under the name Sus scrofa (pig). RNAcentral describes it as "lncRNA (ENSSSCG00045024026.1)". Lineage: Eukaryota; Metazoa; Chordata; Mammalia; Artiodactyla; Suidae. The record is from RNAcentral.
AUGACAUCUGCAAAGACCCCUGGUCUUUUACAUCACAGGCUCUGGGGCUUCGGGACAACGACCUGUCUUUUGAGGGCCACCAUUCAACCAGCUACAAUCACCUUGAAAAAACAGUUUAUGGGAGUUCCCGUCGUGGCGCAGUGGUUAACGAAUCCGACUAGGAACCAUGAGCCUCAAGUAUCUGAGACCAAGGUCAUUCACGAUGCCUGGGCACACGGUUUCUCUCUCCCUGUGAUGUCGUUCUCGAGACCGCUCCUAUGACUGCUGCUGCGGAGACACGGAGCCAAUCCAGAGCGGACUGCCAGUGACGACACCAGUCGCCAAGGCCUCCAAGGGCCCAGAACAUAGUGGCGCCCUCUGGCGGGGAAAGGGAGGCAGUAUGUGAGAGACAGCCAAUCUGGUCAGCUGACUUCGGCCAAGUUCCAGUGCCUGGUGCAACACCCCCUGGCAACUCAAGUCACUUUCCAUCUCCAGAAACCCGACCAGAAGAGAGACAUGCUGAGAGGAAGCAAAGAUCAAGAAUCCUGGCAUCCAAUCAGAUACAGGAAUUAACGCAACAGCCGUCCAAUCAGAUGAGCGGAUCCAACCAAAUAGAGCAGGUAUCCAAGUAGAUGGGGCAGAGUUGCCAUGACGACUCGAGUCUCUACAGGGUUUGCAGGGUCCCCGCGCUCAGACGCUUUUGAGCGCCCCCUGGCGCUUGGCCCCUUACUCCAGCAAGCGCGUGCUGGCUGAAGGCAGCCAAUAAGGCCGGGUACAGCCUCCGUGACGUCACUAGUUGCGGAGCGGGCCCCCGGAGUGCGUGAGCUCGAAGGCGAGUUCGCGUGAGCUCUUGCGAGCCCGCGGGCGGGUCGCGCGCGCUUUCUCCAGUGCGGUGGUUGGUGCGCAUGCGCUCGUGUUUCUCUUUCUUUUUUUUUUCAGCGUGAGGCGCGAUAAAAGGCGGGAAAGAGCCUGAGGCGAAGCGUGAGGUGAGACGACCAGGUGGACCAGGGGGACGACCGGGUUGACUGACGGACCCAUGGACGGAGGGGGACCCCCUCUGAGCCGGAAACGCUCUGGCAGAGGAUGUGGCCUCUUAAAAAAUCUUCCUGAGGGACAGAGCCCCAGAGAUGGCCCGACAGAGAAAGGCUAGAGGAAAGUGACGCCCCCUACACACACACACACACACACACACACACGCGACGGUGCAGCCAGUUAGAAAGUCGCAGGGGUGGAGACGCUGGAAGCGACGAAGGAAGACAUUGAGGUGCCCCGGGGAAGGACCCCGAGGCGAGAGAGACAGUGACCGUGAUGCGGAACGAUGGGGA